GAGUUAGGGUGCCCUCCAAGGCGCCCGACCUCCCAACCCUUUGUCUAAUUUACCUUGUCGUUGCUUCGGCGGACCGGUUGACCAACUGGUCGUGACCGCCGGGGGGUGAAACCCCCCUGGAGAGCGUCCGCCGACGGCCCAACCACAAACUCUUGUACCAAACCAUGUCGUCUGAAUUACUUGAUUAAAAUCAAAAACAAAACUUUCAACAACGGAUCUCUUGGUUCU
This 228-nucleotide unclassified non-coding RNA is filed under the name rhizosphere metagenome. RNAcentral describes it as "partial ribosomal RNA internal transcribed spacer region". The record is from RNAcentral.